GUCCACGCCGUAAACGAUGUCAACUAGCCGUUGGUCCUAUAUACAGGAUUAGUGGCGCAGCUAACGCAUUAAGUUGACCGCCUGGGGAGUACGGCCGCAAGGUUAAAACUCAAAUGAAUUGACGGGGCCGCACAAGCGGUGGAGCAUGUGGUUUAAUUCGAUGCAACGCGAAGAACCUUACCUACCCUUGACAUCCAGAGAAUCUGUUAGAGAUAGUAGAGUGCCUUCGGGAGCUCUGAGACAGGUGCUGCAUGGCUGUCGU
RNAcentral lists this ribosomal RNA (262 nucleotides) under uncultured bacterium. RNAcentral's name for it is "partial 16S ribosomal RNA". It matches the Rfam family "Bacterial small subunit ribosomal RNA", at positions 793 to 1055 of the family's 1533-position model. The record is from RNAcentral.